Molecule: ribosomal RNA, 253 nt
Filed under: uncultured prokaryote
Description: partial 16S ribosomal RNA
Rfam family: Bacterial small subunit ribosomal RNA
Source: RNAcentral
UACAGAGACUGCAAGCGUUGUUCGGAUUCAUUGGGCGUAAAGGGUCCGUAGGCGGUCGGUUAAGUCGGAUGUGAAAUCUCGUGGCCCAACCACGAGCGGUCAUUCGAAACUAAUCGGCUAGAGGGCUGGAGAGGAGACUGGAAUUGUCGGUGUAGCGGUGAAAUGCGUAGAGAUCGACAAGAACACCGGUGGCGAAGGCGGGUCUCUGGACAGUUCCUGACGCUGAGGGACGAAAGCUAGGGGAGCAAACGGG